CUCAGAUUGAACGCUGGCGGCAGGCCUAACACAUGCAAGUCGAGCGGCAGCGGAAAGUAGCUUGCUACUUUGCCGGCGAGCGGCGGACGGGUGAGUAAUGUCUGGGAAACUGCCUGAUGGAGGGGGAUAACUACUGGAAACGGUAGCUAAUACCGCAUAACGUCGCAAGACCAAAGAGGGGGACCUUCGGGCCUCUUGCCAUCAGAUGUGCCCAGAUGGGAUUAGCUAGUAGGUGGGGUAAUGGCUCACCUAGGCGACGAUCCCUAGCUGGUCUGAGAGGAUGACCAGCCACACUGGAACUGAGACACGGUCCAGACUCCUACGGGAGGCAGCAGUGGGGAAUAUUGCACAAUGGGCGCAAGCCUGAUGCAGCCAUGCCGCGUGUAUGAAGAAGGCCUUCGGGUUGUAAAGUACUUUCAGCGGGGAGGAAGGCGAUAAGGCUAAUAACCUUGUCGAUUGACGUUACCCGCAGAAGAAGCACCGGCUAACUCCGUGCCAGCAGCCGCGGUAAUACGGAGGGUGCAAGCGUUAAUCGGAAUUACUGGGCGUAAAGCGCACGCAGGCGGUCUGUCAAGUCGGAUGUGAAAUCCCCGGGCUCAACCUGGGAACUGCAUUCGAAACUGGCAGGCUAGAGUCUUGUAGAGGGGGGUAGAAUUCCAGGUGUAGCGGUGAAAUGCGUAGAGAU
RNAcentral lists this ribosomal RNA (685 nucleotides) under Enterobacter asburiae. RNAcentral describes it as "bacterial SSU rRNA". It matches the Rfam family "Bacterial small subunit ribosomal RNA", at positions 23 to 697 of the family's 1533-position model. The record is from RNAcentral. Lineage: Bacteria; Pseudomonadati; Pseudomonadota; Gammaproteobacteria; Enterobacterales; Enterobacteriaceae.